UGCAAGUCGAGCGGACAGAUGGGGAGCUUGCUCCCUGAUGUUAGCGGCGGACGGGUGAGUAACACGUGGGUAACCUGCCUGUAAGACUGGGAUAACUCCGGGAAACCGGGGCUAAUACCGGAUGGUUGUUUGAACCGCAUGGUUCAAACAUAAAAGGUGGCUUCGGCUACCACUUACAGAUGGACCCGCGGCGCAUUAGCUAGUUGGUGAGGUAACGGCUCACCAAGGCAACGAUGCGUAGCCGACCUGAGAGGGUGAUCGGCCACACUGGGACUGAGACACGGCCCAGACUCCUACGGGAGGCAGCAGUAGGGAAUCUUCCGCAAUGGACGAAAGUCUGACGGAGCAACGCCGCGUGAGUGAUGAAGGUUUUCGGAUCGUAAAGCUCUGUUGUUAGGGAAGAACAAGUACCGUUCGAAUAGGGCGGUACCUUGACGGUACCUAACCAGAAAGCCACGGCUAACUACGUGCCAGCAGCCGCGGUAAUACGUAGGUGGCAAGCGUUGUCCGGAAUUAUUGGGCGUAAAGGGCUCGCAGGCGGUUUCUUAAGUCUGAUGUGAAAGCCCCCGGCUCAACCGGGGAGGGUCAUUGGAAACUGGGGAACUUGAGUGCAGAAGAGGAGAGUGGAAUUCCACGUGUAGCGGUGAAAUGCGUAGAGAUGUGGAGGAACACCAGUGGCGAAGGCGACUCUCUGGUCUGUAACUGACGCUGAGGAGCGAAAGCGUGGGGAGCGAACAGGAUUAGAUACCCUGGUAGUCCACGCCGUAAACGAUGAGUGCUAAGUGUUAGGGGGUUUCCGCCCCUUAGUGCUGCAGCUAACGCAUUAAGCACUCCGCCUGGGGAGUACGGUCGCAAGACUGAAACUCAAAGGAAUUGACGGGGGCCCGCACAAGCGGUGGAGCAUGUGGUUUAAUUCAAAGCAACGCGAAGAACCUUACCAGGUCUUGACAUCCUCUGACAAUCCU
This 965-nucleotide ribosomal RNA is filed under the name Bacillus subtilis. RNAcentral's name for it is "bacterial SSU rRNA". It matches the Rfam family "Bacterial small subunit ribosomal RNA", at positions 56 to 1001 of the family's 1533-position model. The record is from RNAcentral. Lineage: Bacteria; Bacillati; Bacillota; Bacilli; Caryophanales; Bacillaceae.